Molecule: ribosomal RNA, 116 nt
Filed under: Pteropus alecto (black flying fox)
Lineage: Eukaryota; Metazoa; Chordata; Mammalia; Chiroptera; Pteropodidae
Source: RNAcentral
GUCUAUGGCCAUGCCACCUUGAACAAGCCUGAUGUCUGAUCUGGGAAGCUAAGCUGGGUCGGGCCUGGUUAGUACUUGGAUGGGAGACCACCUAGGAAGACCAGGUGCUACAGGCG